RNAcentral lists this ribosomal RNA (484 nucleotides) under uncultured bacterium. Its description in RNAcentral is "partial 16S ribosomal RNA". It matches the Rfam family "Bacterial small subunit ribosomal RNA", at positions 28 to 523 of the family's 1533-position model. The record is from RNAcentral.
GACGAACGCUGGCGGCGUGCUUAACACAUGCAAGUCGAACGACGAAGCCGGAGCUUGCUCUGGUGAAUUAGUGGCGAACGGGUGAGUAACACGUGAGUAACCUGCCCUUGACUCUGGGAUAACUGCGGGAAACUGUAGCUAAUACCGGAUACGACCCUCGGAGGCAUCUCCUGGGGGUGGAAAGAAUUUCGGUCAAGGAUGGACUCGCGGCCUAUCAGCUAGUUGGUGAGGUAAAGGCUGACCAAGGCGACGACGGGUAGCCGGCCUGAGAGGGUGCCCGGCCACACUGGGACGGAGGCACGGCCCAGACUCCUACAGGAGGCAGCAGUGGGGAAUAUUGCACUAUGGGCGCGAGCCUGAUGCAGCAACGCCGCGUGGGGGAUGACGGCCUUCGGGUUGUAAACCUCUUUUAGCAGGGAAGAAGCGAAAGUGACGGUACCUGCAGAAAAAGCACCGGCUAACUACGUGCCAGCCGCCGCCGUAA